UAUAUGUAAAGAUGCACUUUUUAAAUGCAAACAAGUUAAAUACAUUUAUUUAUAAUUUUUUGAGAGACAUAAAACAACUUGUUUAUCCAGUGAUCCCAGAGACUUUAGUUCGUCUGAUCGACACAGGGGCGCAAAAUUAUCGUACACACAUAUUCAAGGCUGCUUUUUAAGUGUCAACAGAGUAAGGUUGCUCUGGGUGCCGGGUCAUAGUGGCGUUCAGGGCAAAGAAAGGGCGCACGAGCUUGCCAGACUUGGAGCUUCACAGCACGAUUUGGCAAACCAAUGCCACAUCAGCGUGUCAGAGGGGCUCAUGCGGAGGAGGUCUAAGAAGUGGGCCACGGACCGCUUCAGGGAUCUCUGGGUGCAAGGCCCUGGCAUGAGGCACACGAAGGCUCUGUUUUCAGGGCCUUCGAAGGAGCUAGGUACCGAGUUGAUCAACCUGGACCGAGCCCAAUUGAGGCUGGUUGUAGGAUUGGUCACCGGACACUGGCACCUUAGAAAGCACCUUACGCGACUGGGCCUUGCACAAGACUCGGUCUGUGGCAGGUGCGGUGAAGGGGAGGAUACCCCCCUCCAUCUCAUAACUCAAUGCGUUGGGCUCGCGGACGUCAAAAAUAAUGUCCUUGGGACCACCGUCAACAACUUCGACCUAGUGGGCUCAGGGGCGGCCAGACUCCUGCGCUUUGCAAGGGAGUCGGGGCUGCUCGCGGGACCGCUACGGUCAUAAGUUUUUCCCCGCAAGGGGCCCGGGUACAAUGGUCCAGAGACUGAGCGCCCGGGUAAACAAACCUCAAGGAAAAAAAA
Molecule: long non-coding RNA, 804 nt
Organism: Polistes dominula (European paper wasp)
Lineage: Eukaryota; Metazoa; Arthropoda; Insecta; Hymenoptera; Vespidae
Source: RefSeq, a predicted model, not a curated record